ACUCUAGUCUGACUCUGUGAAGAGACAUGAGAGGUGUAGCAUAAGUGGGAGGCCGUGCGGUUCGGCGGGGUUCGCGCGUCCGUCAGUGAAAUACCACUACUCUCAUCGUUUCUUUACUUACUCGGUGGAGCGGAGAGCGGACCAAUGAGUGUCCACGCUGUCCAAUGAGUGCCUUUACCCUAUCGAGCGGCCCCUGACCCUUGUCCAUUUGGCGGGGCCCCCGGCCAUCAUGCUGCGUUGCGCCAUUGCCGGGGGUGAAAGAGUCUGGCGGCAUGU
This 276-nucleotide ribosomal RNA is filed under the name Haemaphysalis longicornis (longhorned tick). RNAcentral describes it as "Eukaryotic large subunit ribosomal RNA". It matches the Rfam family "Eukaryotic large subunit ribosomal RNA", at positions 2425 to 2620 of the family's 3401-position model. The record is from Rfam by way of RNAcentral. Lineage: Eukaryota; Metazoa; Arthropoda; Arachnida; Ixodida; Ixodidae.